Molecule: long non-coding RNA, 5155 nt
Organism: Equus caballus (horse)
Lineage: Eukaryota; Metazoa; Chordata; Mammalia; Perissodactyla; Equidae
Source: Ensembl
UGUCAAGAGAACUUAUAAUUGAAAUAAUUCCUAUUGAAUCUACCACUAAUUAUUUCUAGAUUACUUUUGUUGAUAUUUAGUUGACAUAUCUUGAGAUUUUAGAGUUUUAUUUUCUAUAGAAGGUACUAUUUUCUCCAGAAGAUUUCCCUAACCAGGAAGACCAUUCCCUCCAACCCCAUCCCCAAGCGAGGCAAAAUGAUCCUCCACUGUAUUCCCCUCAAUCCUUUUGUGCCUUUGAAAUUAUGUGCUUCUGUGUUCAUCGUCUUAUGCUUAGGGGGCUGUCAGUCAUCUUUAUAUCUCUCUUGUCUAUUCCGGUGCCAAGCACGUGGCAGGAACUGUACGAAAGGCCUGAAAGCCUCAAACCAAUUCCACCCUGGAUCUAUGGGCAGUGAAAUUGCUUAUCAUCGAGGAAGGAAUUCAAAAUGGUUCCUAAACAAACAGGAAGAGCCCAUCUACUGUGUUUGGUACUUCUGUUCUCACAAUUUUUCAUUUUUCAGAAUUUGUGGGGAGUGAUUGUAAACUUUGCUUCACUGGAAAGAAGGAAGGCAGGAAGCCACGAUGCCAGGAGCUUCACCCACAUCCUCUCAUGUAAUCCUGUACAAGACCCUGGGAAGGCGGGAUAUUAUUAUCCCUAUUUUACAGAUGAGACAACAAAGGCUUAGAGAUGCUAACUUGUCCAGUGACUAAGCUGAGGAGAUGGGCUCCAAAACCAAAUGUCUGAUUUCGAAGCCCACGCCCUCUUCCUGAACUGUAUUUUCUCCUCUCACAAAGAACUGGUUUUUGAGGACUGAGGGUGCAUGAGCCCCAUGGACUCGCUUCUCCUAGGAUCUCCUGUGUGGGGUGAGCCGACCUCUGUCCGGUUCUCUUGAUGGUGUCAUCCUCCCUGGUCGCUCCCUACCUGAGAGCCUCUGUCUGGUGCUGGCUCCUGCGCACCUUUCACAGGAACGCCAGUGACUCAGCAUCAUGGAGGAAGGACAAGCGUUCUGCUUCACAGUAGCAACGGGGCCACCUGCAGCAAGAUCAGCCAGAUCACUGCCGUCAGGGAAGAAGCCUGCUUCCACCCUUUGGACCUCACGACUCAGGGAGAGGAGGUCCCCGGCCUCUCUCCCAGGUGACUGAGCUUUGCAGAGCAGAGCAGUUUGCAUCAAGCACUGACAGAGACUUUGAGACGGGUGCCUCUUACACCAGACCCCAUAGAUGGUUGUAUAUUACCAAAUGCUCGGAGGAGCUGAAAUGCUUCCUCAAAGUGGAUAUAAUAUGAUUCCUACAGGACAAUUAAUCAGGCCCCUUUGUUACUUAGAGUCUUACCUGUUUUGUUUUGUUGUUGGCUAGAAGGGAACUCUGAGAUCAUAAACUAGCCAAUCUUACGGAUAGGAAACAGUCCUAAGGAGAUCACAGAUUAUAGAAAAUAAAGGCGUUUGAAGGACUGGACAGGCUUCCUGGCUAAUUUCCUUCCCUGUUCUCCCCAUGAGGAGAGCAUACUGGGUGUUACAGAACAAAGCUCGCCUCUUCCACAGGCAAGGCUGAUCCAAGAGUCGAGGGAGAGUCUGUGACUGUCGGGAGAGGCGUUUUCAGCUGCAUUUGCGAGGACCCAGCUCAGUUGCGCCACUUCGACAAACAUUGCCCACUAAAGAGUCACAACAAAUUUUUUAAAGGGAAAAAGGCCCUGAAGCAUCUUCCAUGUCCUCUGAUUACCAUAUGAAUGUGACCCCUUUUUUCAAAAAAGUCUGGCAGUCUUUCCUCCUGAGCAUAAACAACAGAUUACACAGUGAGACGUCAGCACCAUGUCCUUCUAAGAAUCAUGUUAGCCUUCCUUGGCACUGCCAUUCUCCAGCAGUAUCACAUUCCAGCAGACAUGGGUUUCUUGGGAAGAAUUACUCUUCUAAAGAACAGGAGUACCUAUGUGUUUACAGCUGCCUCCUCUAGGAUGGGACCGUGUGCUAUACCUGGGCAGCCUCUGACCUGGCUGGCUGGCCUAGAGUCAAUGCUCAUUAUGUUUGUUGAGUGAAUGAAGGACUGUGAAAUGUUCAUGUGUUCCACACUGGCAAACAGAGCAGAGGAGAGGCAGUGGUGAAAGGUCUGCUCAGGGACGAGGUCCUUGGGACAUUUCAGGCCUCACCUUCACCAACAGCUGCCCAUCUGCUCAUGGCUCACAGACGGCACGAAGCUUCCCUGACGAAGGUGGAUCCUGGGGUGAAACUUCCUCCUCACACAUUUCCAGGCUGAUAAGUUGGGCCUAAGAGGCAUUACUUUAAGAAACAACUGCCCUCAAACCCUCUUAGGAGUGUGACUCCCUCGAGUCCAUUAUAAAGGACUUUGUAGAGGAGUGGAGAAGCUGGGCGAAGAUCUCCAGGCCUCUGGCCAUGAAUCUCCAGCUGUCACACAGACCUGGCACCCUGCCCUCUCUCUCCCCCAGGCCGGAAUGUGGGAGGGUCCCUGGGCGCCCCCAUCCCGCGCCUCCCCCUUCCCCUGCGCUUGCGUCUGUGAUGUUCUGUGAUGUUCGGACGCGUCCCCCGAGCGCAGGCGGGGCCUUAGGGCCACCAGUACCCCCCCAUCGCGGCCAAACGAGGCCGCAGCCCGUCCGUCUCCCUUGCUGUAAACACCUUUAUUUUGGCUUCGGUUUAUGGCCCCCUUCCAGGGGAUCACAACUUGUUUAGACCAGCUCUCAACAAAGGGCCCUCCUGAUUACAGACAUGCUGCUGGUUUAUGGUGGUCUUCCUUUGUCUGAUUCUCUCCGCUGUCUUCCUUCCUCCCCCCCAGGGACCGGCCUUCUGGCUGCUGCUGGGCAGGGCGGGCCGCGGCGGCGGGGCUGCCGUCUGGUUCCCCUCAGCGCAGGGCAGGCGGUGCUCUGACAGGGCCAGGGGGAUAAAAGGAGCCGGAUGUGACUCGCCCGAGGUCAGGCUUCCGUCUGCCCCCCCACCCCCGCCCCCGACACAGUGAGACAUCACUGUGGAUGUCCUCCUGGACAUCCCCCCCCCACCCCCCCAGGAAUGAGGGGGCCUCUGGCGAUGUCCUCGGGGGGCUCACCUGGCCAGCAUCCCUGCCACAGUCCCUGGAGGAGCAGCGCGGCGCUGGGACAAAUACAACCCCGGGCCUGUACCGCCAGCCCUCCUGGCAAAGCCCACGCUCCUCGCAGCCGCUUGCCCCCAGGCCCGCCAGGACUGUGAAGGGGAUGGGACGCCAAGUCAGCCGCCCGGGCCCUGCCCUGUGAGGACACGCAGACUCUGCUGCAGACAGCCAGGCGGGCCCCGCAUCCUCGGGCUCCGGCUCGCGCUUCCUCCGCUCAGCGCUCACCCCGCUCCUGCGCUUCCUCUCGGUGCACGGGAAGGGCCGAGUGCUGGGGGCCACUGGGGCGCCCCGGCCCUUGGGAGACAGGCCUGUGGCACUUGGGACAAUGUCAGGGGCUCUGCCAACACUGCCCCCUGUGCGCGGGGCUCUGUGGACAGCCCCUGAAGAGGCAGAGAGAAGGGAUGAGAAUGCCCCACGAAAAGCAAGUGCUGUAGGGUCCCAGUGCUUCUCUGUUUCAGCCUGGGGCUUCCUCUUUGGCAAAAGGUAUUUGUUCAAGGGGUCCACAGAAAGCCUCUGAAAGGAGAGUCAGGGCUGAGGGUCGCAGAGCGUGAAGUCUCAGACCCUCCUGUUUUCCAACGGGCUGCCUCUGGGGAAGGGAGACUGCCUCCAAUCCAUGCCCUAGUCACGCAAACACACAUAAACGGCCUCAGCUUAACUCAGCACACGCUCCAGGGGACCGAGGAGGCAUGGUCAAUGGAAGAAGUCCUUUCCCCGUUGGUGGUGCAUGGUCAUCUCCUCUCCAGGUGUGACGUUCUAUGCAGAACACGUGGAAAGGCAGAUCCACGCGGACCUGGCCCUGACGCGCAGCAGGCGUACUUGAAAAAUAAGUCAUAAUGGAUUCUAUGCUCAGUUUCCCGGCUACAGAGUGGAAGACGUGAGAAGGCAAACACUUAGACAAUGUCAUAAGGAGCUGUGAUGGCCGCUGGGAUGUGACGCCAGUGCUGACACGGGGAGUCCCUGCAAAGUGGCCUCUUCUCUCCCCUGAACCCCCGCCUGUGCCUUCCCAGCCAGCGUGAGGGGAGGAGCCAACAGCGACCACACUCCAGCUUUGCUGCAACCUUUUUAAAUCUGCUGCAGGCGGAUUUCUCCCCAGCCCUUGCACGUGUUGCUUCUCGUUUUGUAACAAAUAUCCAGCAUUUCUAUAGUGGGUUAUUUUUUUCCAGUUUGCAAAUACACUGUCUGAUGUAACACUCAUAAUUGCUCAGUGAGUAUUUUUGUCUUGUUUUUUCAGAAGACGGAUCUAGGACAUAGAAAAGAUAAGUGACUUUCUCUACAAACUGAUCUGUAGAUCAAUAUAAUCCAAAUAAAACUAUCAUCAGUUUAUUUUGUUUCAGAAAUUGACAAUCUGCUUCCAAAAUUUAUGAGGAAAUAUACAGGCCCAAGAAUGAGAUAAUCAUAAAAAAGAACAGAAUUGGAGUUUCUGCACUACUAGAUAUCAAGACAUUAUAAAUGUACAGUCUACCUCCUUUCUAGACAGUUAGCAACGCGAAGACAGGCGCCGAGUUUUAUCCACCAUUAUAACCCUAGGACUCAGCAUGGCAUCUGACAGACUGUCAACACCGAACAGAUGAUGAGUAAUGAAGAGAAGAGGGGCUGGAUGAAGGAAUGAAUGCUGCAGUGACAGGCCGAGGAGGGGGAUACAGGAUGCUAGGGAAAGGCCGUGGAGAGCAUGAAAGGCAUUCCUCCUCGCUGUCUGACAUCCUCAAAACCACGUCGGAGCCCUUCUUUGAGCUGGAUGGUUCUCAACGACCGACUGGCAGACUGCGGGGACCAGUGAGCGAGCGUUCAUCCCGCGGGUGACUGCAGCAGCCUGUGGGGCCCUGUUCUCUGCAGGAGCCGAGCCGUGGGGGCACCUGCUCUUUCCUAUCAGUUGUGUGCCACCUGCCAGGGCCACAGGCCAGCUUUGCAACCUCCCUGUUUGGGAGAGGCCGGACAGCCGAGUCGUCAGGCACUAUAUCCAACUCUGCUAAUCGUUGGCUGUGUCACCUUGGGCAAGCGACUUCACUUCACUGAGCUUCAGCAUUGUCAUCUCUCAGACUAAGGCCCUGUCUCUGAGCUUUGGUCCACAGCUGGGAUGAGGCUGCUC